AUGAGCAGGGUGUGCGUCACCGGAGCGGCAGGGUACAUCGCGUCCUGGCUCGUCAAGAAGCUGCUCGACAGAGGCUGCACCGUCCAUGGGACCGUACGAGACCUCGGGGAUGAGAAGAAGACGGGGCUGCUGAGGUCGCUCCCCGGCGCGGCGGAGCGGCUGGUGCUCUUCGAGGCGGACAUCUACGACGCCGCCUCCUUUGAGCCGGCGAUCCAGGGCUGCGAGUUCGUCUUCCUCGUCGCCACCCCGCUGCAGCACAACUCCGGCAGCUCCAAGUACAAGGACACCACGGAAGCGGUCGUGGACGCGACGCGCACCAUCCUGCAACAGUGCGAGCGGUCCAAGACAGUGAGACGUGUCAUCCAUACAGGUUCCGUUGUUACGGCCUCGCCGCUCCGUGAGAACGGCGACGGGUACAAGGAGUCCGUGAACGAAUCCUGCUGGACCCCGCUAGGCCUGUCCUACAGCCACAGCAACGAUGGCUUCUUGGAUGCUUAUGUCUCCUCCAAGACCGUAUCUGAGGAGGAGUUACUCAAGUACAAUGACGACUUCUCCAAAGCCAGAGCAUUCGACGUUGUUGUCCUGUUAUGCGGCCUCGUAGGAGGAGACAUUCUACUGCCGCACAUCAGUGGAAGCAUCCAUGUCAUGUUGUCACCACUCACUGGCGUCAAGCUCCACCACAAGUCCCUCAAGUCCCUACAGACCCUUCUUGGCUCUAUACCACUAGUGCACAUUGACGACAUCUGUGAGGCGCAUAUCUUUUGCAUGGAGAGGUCGCUUGAUGUUGCUGGUGGCCGAUACCUUUGCACCACCGCACACACCAACAUGCAGGACGUUUUGGAGCACUACGCUGGCAAACACCCUGAACUCGAGAUAGUGGACAAAGAGGUGGUGGGAGAGGGAGUGAGGGUGCAUGUUAACACAAACAAGCUCGUGGAACUGGGGUUUAAGUAUAAGUAUGGAGCAAAGGAGGUGCUUGAUGGCAGCGUGGAUUGCGGUGAGAGGUUGGGGGUGCUAUGA
This 1020-nucleotide ribosomal RNA is filed under the name Triticum aestivum (bread wheat). Its description in RNAcentral is "partial small subunit ribosomal RNA". Lineage: Eukaryota; Viridiplantae; Streptophyta; Magnoliopsida; Poales; Poaceae. The record is from RNAcentral.